UACGUAGGGUGCAAGCGUUGUCCGGAAUUAUUGGGCGUAAAGAGCUCGUAGGCGGUUUGUCGCGUCUGCUGUGAAAACCCGAGGCUCAACCUCGGGCCUGCAGUGGGUACGGGCAGACUAGAGUGCGGUAGGGGAGAUUGGAAUUCCUGGUGUAGCGGUGAAAUGCGCAGAUAUCAGGAAGAACACCCGUGGCGAAGGCGGUUCUCUGGAACGCAACUGACGCUGAGACGCGAAAGCGUGGGGAGCAAACAGG
This 253-nucleotide ribosomal RNA is filed under the name uncultured bacterium. Its description in RNAcentral is "partial 16S ribosomal RNA". It matches the Rfam family "Bacterial small subunit ribosomal RNA", at positions 524 to 776 of the family's 1533-position model. The record is from RNAcentral.